This 542-nucleotide ribosomal RNA is filed under the name uncultured archaeon. RNAcentral's name for it is "bacterial SSU rRNA". It matches the Rfam family "Archaeal small subunit ribosomal RNA", at positions 457 to 997 of the family's 1478-position model. The record is from RNAcentral.
GUCAGCAGCCGCGGUAACACCGGCGGCCCGAGUGGUGAUCGUGAUUAUUGGGUCUAAAGGGUCCGUAGCCGGUUUGGUCAGUCCUCCGGGAAAUCUGAUAGCUCAACUAUUAGGCUUUCGGGGGAUACUGCCAGACUUGGAACCGGGAGAGGUAAGAGGUACUACAGGGGUAGGAGUGAAAUCUUGUAAUCCCUGUGGGACCACCUGUGGCGAAGGCGUCUUACCAGAACGGGUUCGACGGUGAGGGACGAAAGCUGGGGGCACGAACCGGAUUAGAUACCCGGGUAGUCCCAGCCGUAAACGAUGCUCGCUAGGUGUCAGGCAUGGCGCGACCGUGUCUGGUGCCGCAGGGAAGCCGUGAAGCGAGCCACCUAGGAAGUACGGCCGCAAGGCUGAAACUUAAAGGAAUUGGCGGGGGAGCACAACAACGGGUGGAAGCCUGCGGUUUAAUUGGACUCAACGCCGGACAACUCACCGGGGGCGACAGCAAUAUGUAGGCCAAGCUGAAGACUUUGCCUGAAUCGCUGAGGGGUGGUGCAUGG